CUUUACUGUAACUUGAAAUUGAAAUUGGACUUUACUUGCGCAGUAUAGGUGGGAGGCGUUGAAAAUCUUCUUGCGGGAGGAUUGGAGCCAUCAGUGAGAUACCACUCUUGUAAUGUUAGAUUUCUAACUUUGAAUCAUGAUCUGGUCAAAGAACAGUUUCAGGCGGGCAGUUUGACUGGGGCGGUCGCCUCCCAAAUGGUAACGGAGGCGUACAAAGGUUUCCUCUGAACGUGUAGAAAUCGUAUCUAGAGUGUAAAGGCAUAAGGAAGCUUGACUGUGAGACCUACAAGUCGAGCAGGGACGAAAGUCGGUCUUAGUGAUCUGACGGUGCUGAGUGGAAAGGCCGUCACUCAACGGAUAAAAGUUA
Molecule: ribosomal RNA, 367 nt
Filed under: uncultured organism
Description: bacterial LSU rRNA
Rfam family: Bacterial large subunit ribosomal RNA
Source: RNAcentral